RNAcentral lists this ribosomal RNA (461 nucleotides) under Liturgusa maya. RNAcentral describes it as "partial 16S ribosomal RNA". The record is from RNAcentral. Lineage: Eukaryota; Metazoa; Arthropoda; Insecta; Mantodea; Liturgusidae.
UUUUGUUUUUAUAAAGGAGAUUUGCCCUCCCCCCUGAAAAUUUUGAAGGGCGCCAGUAUUUAGAUUGUGCAAAGGGAGCAUAUUCUUUAUUCUUUUAAUUGAGGGCUGGAAGGAAGGGUUGGACGGGGGAAAAUCUUUUUCUUUUUAAUUAAUUGAUUUAAAAUUUUAAGUAAAAAUGCUUAAAUUUUUUUAAGGGGCGGAGCCCCUCUAGAUUUUAUUGAUAGUUAUUUUUAUUUAAGUUUUUAAAAAUAAAUUUUUUAUUUUUUUAAAUUUAUUUAAGGGGUGAUUAAUAAUAUAAAAAAUUUCUCUUUUUUUGAAUUAUCUAAAAAGUUUAUUGAUCCAUUCUUAAUGAUUAUAAGAUUAAAUUACCUUAGGGAUAACAGCAUAAUUAUUUUUGAGAGUUCUUAUCGAAAGAAUGGAUUGUGACCUCGAUGUUGGAUUAAGAUAUAAAUUGGGUGUAG